This is a long non-coding RNA of Equus caballus (horse), 1632 nucleotides long. NCBI's taxonomy places the organism in Eukaryota, Metazoa, Chordata, Mammalia, Perissodactyla, Equidae. The record is from Ensembl.
UAGGAGACACCCUGGCAGUCGUCCAUUGCACCUGGAGGAGCCCGUGGGUGCCCAGCACGUCCUCAGUGGGUUCCCGAGGACAGAGGCCAAGGCCGGGAGGGAGUGGGCCAGGUGCCGCCGCGAGGCUGGACAGGGCGUGCGUGCCUGCUGAGCUCCGCAGGUGCCAUCUUGGAGAGCGAGGGGCGAGAAGCCUUCAACAACCCGCCGUGACCCCAAAGAGGGCGCGAUUUCCCGGAAGUUCCAUCCUACUCCGGGAUUGUGUCUUAGAACCGGAAGGAAAGGAGUCACCUUAAUCGACAGCUGUACUUCCGAACUCCCCUGAGAGUGGGGGCUUCAGCGCCACAUUACGCCAAUUAUAUGGAAAAGGAAGGAGCCACAUUUUCACUAAGCAGUUACAUCCAGCAAAAAAGUGAAUUCUCUCGUAUGUUUUUGUAACGUGGCUUCUUGGAAAUAGGAGUUUUGUUUGGACCUGUUAGUGGAUGUCACUUUGAUCCUGAUUUGGAGAAUCAAUCAAGAGGACUUUCUGGAGUAGCCUGUUGUGAAAUGAAGAACCUAAUAGGAAAAGUGGUUAUUCUGCCAUGAGAGAGCUCAGCUCAUGGUCUUGCUGGAUUGCUGCUCAUGAGGCAGUGCAGAAUGUUCCCUGUUUUUUCAUGUUGGCAAAGGAAAUUACACCAGUGCAGUGAUUGUCAGAAUGAUGCAACACCUCUGAGGAAAGUAAUUGCUGCCUUCUUAAAGAUAGGUUGGGGUGAACCAUGCCAAAUGUUGAGUGGGAUUUAUUGAAUAAUCUACAAGCAAUGCAAGAAUUCCGUGCAUUUCAGUUGUGAGGAAACAAAAGUGUUGAUAAGAAAAGAACAAAAAUGCAAAUGGGAAAAUAAUCUUUAUUUUCCAAGUCCUUUCAUGAUGCCAAUAGAUGAAGUCUAAAAGGAAGAGAAAAUUCCUAAAAAAUCAUUGAAUUUACUAUCAGGAAAGUGUUAUUAAUUUAAGUGAGGCAGGAAAAAUCACAAUAAGUGUGAGACGAGCACUGUGGAAAGAGGCUUUAUAAGAAGUCCAACCAGAGAAGAGGCGGAGGAGAGGCGUCAUGAUAUAGUGGCUUAAGUACUGCAACUGAAGCUGAGAAACUGGGAUUCUGCCAAUGACUGUUUGUGUUACUAUAUUAGUCAGGGUUCUCUGAUUCUGGGAAACAGAAUUAAUAGGAUAUAUAUACAUAUAUCUAGAAAGAUAUGUAUUAUAAGGUAUUGGCUUACAUGAUUAUGGUGGAUGAGAAGUCCCACGAUUUGCCAUCUGCAAGCAGGACAUCCAGGGAAGCCAGUGGUGUAGUAGAAGGCCUCAGAGCUGGAGAGCUGAUGGUGUAGAUUCCAGUCCGAGUCAGAAAGCUUGAGAACCAGGAGCACUGAGGGCAGGAGAAGAUCCAUGUCCUAGCUCAGCAGUCAGGCACAGAGCAAAUUCAACCUUCCUCUGCAUUUUGCUCUAAUCAGACCACCAGCAUUGGAGAGGGCCAUCUGCUUUACUCAGUCCACCAGUUCAAAUGCUAAUCUCUUUUCUAGAAACGUCCUGACAGACAUAUUCAGAAAUAAUGUUUAACUAGCUGUCUGGGCAUCCCAUGGCUCAGUCAAGUUGACACAUAAAAUUAAC